Molecule: long non-coding RNA, 621 nt
Organism: Gambusia affinis (western mosquitofish)
Lineage: Eukaryota; Metazoa; Chordata; Actinopteri; Cyprinodontiformes; Poeciliidae
Exons: 3
Source: RefSeq, a predicted model, not a curated record
CUUAAUCAAUCAUAACAAAAUGUUCGGUACCAUGUCAGCCUCGGGCGAUGAUUGAAGAUGAAGAGACGCUGAUUUCUGAUUCUUAAGAAGUGCUGCGGGUAUGCUGACGCGACCUAGAUAAAGCCAUCAUCCCAGGACUGGGAGUGGGAAUUCAACCAAGCACCAAUCAUCACUUUCAGGAGCUGACAGAUGUAAAGAAACAUGAGUGACGACAUUUGAUAGCAGCCUCCUUUGAACUGUCAAUCAUGACGGAAGAUUUUGCCUCAUCCUGUCAAACUGUACCUGCCUAAACCAGAGAUGAGGGAGACAGCUGAGGAGCAGGGUGUUAUGGAUUCCAGAUUAUGACUCAGUUAUAAAACUUUCAUCAGGGUCACAAGGACAAACUAUCUCUUAAGAUGAGUUCUCAACUUCAGCCACCAACAUUGUUCUUUUAUUCCAGUUCAUAUAAUUACCCAUAGUGCUCUGUGGAGUACUUUUACUCCUCCUGUUGCUCAGAGAAAUAUUCUAUUUGCAGCCUAGAGACUUUACUUAUUCACCCUCUAGCAUUCAUGACCUUCCUCGCCUCCAUCCAGACAUUAUUGUCAGAAGGGCUUCUGCUCAGGAUUCCCUCUCGUACCUACA